Molecule: unclassified non-coding RNA, 376 nt
Filed under: soil metagenome
Description: partial contains 5.8S ribosomal RNA, internal transcribed spacer 2, and large subunit ribosomal RNA
Rfam family: 5.8S ribosomal RNA (bases 1-120)
Source: RNAcentral
GAUGAAGAACGUAGCGAAAUGCGAUAAGUAAUGUGAAUUGCAGAAUUCAGUGAAUCAUCGAAUCUUUGAACGCAUCUUGCGCUCCUUGGUAUUCUGAGGAGCAUGCCUGUUUGAGUGUCAUUAAAUUCUCAACUACACUGACUUUGAAUUGGUGUGGCUUGGAUUUGGGGGGAAAAUUGUUGUGGGCUUUUUGUAUAGUCUGCUCCCCUGAAAUUGAUUAGCGGUACCUUUGUGGAACUGUCUACAGGUGUGAUAAUUAUCUACAUCUUAGACAUCUGCUGGAAUGCUGCUUUCUAAACCUUACUUGUAUUGACAAUCUUGACCUCAAAUCGGGUAGGACUACCCGCUGAACUUAAGCAUAUCAAUAAGCGGAGGA